CUGAAUUAAAGAAAGCAAUGAAGGGUGUUUGCUGAAUGAAGGACCACCCAAUUCAAUAGCCGAAUUAAUUAAACCCAAAGCAAAUAGUGGAACAUCUUCAUCAUAUGCUAUAGGAUUUGAUCUAGGACCAACUUCAAUGUGCUCAAUAACAUUCAAAAGAGAACAGAGAAAGUGAAAUAUUUCCACCAAGCAAGGGACUCCAAAAGGCUCCAUCAUAAGUUUUUCACC
Molecule: unclassified non-coding RNA, 228 nt
Filed under: Hevea brasiliensis (rubber tree)
Lineage: Eukaryota; Viridiplantae; Streptophyta; Magnoliopsida; Malpighiales; Euphorbiaceae
Source: RNAcentral